GACGAACCGUGCGAACGUUGUUCGGAUUUACUGGGCGUAAAGGGCGCGUAGGCGGCCACCGCAAGUCGACUGUGAAAUCUCCGGGCUUAACCCGGAAAGGUCAGCCGAUACUGCGGGGCUAGAGUGCAGAAGGGGCAACUGGAAUUCUCGGUGUAGCGGUGAAAUGCGUAGAUAUCGAGAGGAACACCUGCGGCGAAGGCGGGUUGCUGGGCUGACACUGACGCUGAUGCGCGAAAGCUAGGGGAGCGAACGGG
This 254-nucleotide ribosomal RNA is filed under the name uncultured bacterium. RNAcentral's name for it is "partial 16S ribosomal RNA". It matches the Rfam family "Bacterial small subunit ribosomal RNA", at positions 524 to 776 of the family's 1533-position model. The record is from RNAcentral.